AAACCAUGAUGAGGACAAAGACGCUACAGAUCCUUGAACCUCUCCCAAGCUUCAUACAAGGACUCACCAACAUCCUGGGUCAAAGUUAAUAUGGUAU
Small nucleolar RNA from Beta vulgaris subsp. vulgaris (sugar beet), 97 nucleotides. It matches the Rfam family "Plant small nucleolar RNA R71". Rfam says of the family: R71 is a member of the C/D box family of snoRNAs containing the C (UGAUGA) and D (CUGA) box motifs. Multiple nearly identical copies of this snoRNA have been identified in Arabidopsis, and it is thought to function as a 2'-O-ribose methylation guide for 18S ribosomal RNA. NCBI's taxonomy places the organism in Eukaryota, Viridiplantae, Streptophyta, Magnoliopsida, Caryophyllales, Amaranthaceae. The record is from Rfam.